UACGUAGGGUGCAAGCGUUAAUCGGAAUUACUGGACGUAAAGCGUGCGCAGGCGGUUUUGUAAGUUUGUCGUGAAAGCCCCGGGCUCAACCUGGGAAUUGCGAUGAAGACUGCAAGGCUUGAAUCUGGCAGAGGGGGGUAGAAUUCUACGUGGUAGCAGUGAAAUGCGUAGAGAUGUGGAGGAACACCGGAUGGCGAAGGCAGCCCCCCUGGGUCAAGAUUGACGCUCGAUGCACGAAAGCGUGGGGAGAAACAGG
Molecule: ribosomal RNA, 256 nt
Filed under: uncultured bacterium
Lineage: Bacteria
Description: partial 16S ribosomal RNA
Rfam family: Bacterial small subunit ribosomal RNA
Source: RNAcentral